UAAGUUCACUUGUUAGACUGAUGCAGACAGCAAGCCAAGAGGAAUAUGUAGACAAUGUAUAACUAAGCCGUGAGGAAAUUCAAACCAGUCCAUGUCUGGGAGCCAACACAGAUGCUGAAACCAUAAGGUCCUGCCUGGAUCCAAUCUGGACUGGAGAUGUCCGGAGUCCACAGUGCUUCUUCAGUGCAGCAUCCCGUCGGCUCCACUCCUCACCCAGUCAGAGUAAGUCUUUCCUUGUGGCUCUGUGCCUGCCACACAGCAAUUUCCAUCUGACCUUCAGAUACAGAAUACAGAUCUACCCUGCUGCCAAGGCAAAUGCUAUCUACUAUGCAAUAAACUAUGAAGCCACCAGAUAAUUGGAGGAGAAUGUCUGCAGAGUUGUGUCACGAUGGAUCUGUUCUUUCAUGCUGGAUGCGGAAUGGCGUGACCAGACCACCACA
This is a long non-coding RNA of Alligator mississippiensis (American alligator), 440 nucleotides long. RefSeq lists it as uncharacterized. The record is from RefSeq and is a predicted model, not a curated record. The transcript has 4 exons. Lineage: Eukaryota; Metazoa; Chordata; Crocodylia; Alligatoridae.